AUAGCGUAUAUUAAAGUUGUUGCAGUUAAAAAGCUCGUAGUUGGAUUUCUGGCUUGAUAUAUUUUGCCGGCCACGGUUUCGUGUGUUAGUGCUUGAUAUUCUGGCCAUCCUUCCAAUGGCUAUUCAUCCUUCUUCAUUGAAGGUGUGAGUGGUAUUGGAUCUUUUACUUUGAAAAAAUUAGAGUGUUUCAAGCAGGCUUUAUGCUAUGAAUACAUUAGCAUGGAAUAAUAAUUUAGGACUUCGGUUCUAUUUUGUUGGUUUCUAGGACUGAAGUAAUGAUUGAUAGGGAUAGUUGGGGGUGCUAGUAUUCAGCGGCCAGAGGUGAAAUUCUCGGAUUCGCUGAAGACUAACUUAUG
RNAcentral lists this ribosomal RNA (356 nucleotides) under uncultured eukaryote. RNAcentral's name for it is "SSU rRNA". It matches the Rfam family "Eukaryotic small subunit ribosomal RNA", at positions 594 to 945 of the family's 1831-position model. The record is from RNAcentral.